Molecule: long non-coding RNA, 1534 nt
Organism: Paramormyrops kingsleyae
Lineage: Eukaryota; Metazoa; Chordata; Actinopteri; Osteoglossiformes; Mormyridae
Source: RefSeq, a predicted model, not a curated record
GGCUGCGGACGAGACGGAGGGUUCGGGGUUAGCAGCUGCUGGCUGUGGCAACAAGGCGAGCUCCACCAGCGCUAAUGGUCUGAGCGGCAGUUUAAACCAUGACCCAGUUACAGGACCAGACCUCCUAGACUUGAUUUGAAAACUUCCCAAAGUUGCCCGACGUGGCCAGACGGUGUGACCAGGAUGGAAGGAGACGCUCAGGAAAAUAAUCUAAUGUCAGCCGCACUGCUUUAAUGAAAACAUCAAAAUGAGAAACCCACUUUUGUCCUGUUCGCAGCGAUUUUACAAAUAUUUCCUGGAGAAAUGAAAGUAAAAAAUAAAUUAAAUUCCGGAGGGAAGAUGCAGCACACGCUUGGGGGUGACCAGCUCUCCUCUUUAAUGCUGCUUCCUGGCGUCGUUAAUGAGAUUCCUUAUGAAAUGCAGUUUUUCAGGACCUGAAAUUCCAGGACAUACUUCUGUCUGUCAGGAAUUUCACAUGGAUGCAUUAGGUUCACAUUAUUGAAAUAUUUAAGCGUAAACAUGCAAAAUAGGACACUUUUCUGUUUUUAGGGAAAUAACACAAUAUACUAAAAAUAGGCACCCCAGCAUUCCAAGGAACAGAAAUCAGUGGAGAGCUUUGAGCAGUACUGGGAUGCUGUGCAGCAUUUGGACUGCACUUCACAGAUACUAUUCUUAAAUGAUAUGAUUAUCGUUUUUAAAAGCACCGCCUUUGUUAAGGUCACUUAAGCCUUGUUUACUUUAAAUCCCAGGAAGUUAUCUGUACAGCGGAGAGACUCAGCGGCGUUGCCGUGACGUUUUGGAUAGAACAAACCAUCAUCGCAAACAAAAAAUGAGGCAGGAAGCUUAACAGGAUUCCAGAGACGCCUGCUCUCCGGAGUCGGGGAAAGCAAACAUCUUAAGACGGCGACAUGGCGGAAGCUGCGGAGCCCUGUUUCCAGGCAGGCGGUAGCAAAGCACUUCCAAACAGCAUGGAAGGAGGGUCGUUUCUGUUUUCCUUUAUGGGGAAAAAUGAACGUACAGUGAAAAUAUAAAAAUACAGCAUUUAUCACCAUGGCUAAUAAAUGGUGGCAUGGGGGGCACUGUGUAAGUGAGCCUGCCCCCCAUCCAGGUGACGCGCUGACAGGGGGAGACAGACCGUGCCCGUCAUCUUGCCAAGGGAUCGGAUUCGUGCCUUCGUUGGCCUUCUUCACACGCAUCAUCGAGCACAUCGCUGGAACACCUGACAUGACAGUGUCACCGGCGUCGUCAACAGCGAAGCCGGCAGUGGGGAAGCCCGCUGGCAGAUGUGGGCAACGCGUGGAGCGCGAGAUUGUCUCAUGAAACAGAUCACUGCUUUUCACUUGCUUGCCCAUCAGUCACUUUCCGUUUAUUUGUUUAUUUUGCGUCAACCUAUUUUCCAGGUUUUUUUAACGAUAAUAUAUUUUUUUAACAACGAUAUACCUUGGAUUCGAAGGACCUCCACCUCAUCAAAAUGAAUGCUUGUAAGCACGGCGCAAAACAACUGUUUUCCACAUGUAGGACCUGGCCUGCUGCA